GCCUUGUUAGCUUGGUUGGUAGAGCGUUUGCCUUCUAAGCGCUAGGCCGCGGGUUCGAUUCCCGCCCUGGGCG
This 73-nucleotide transfer RNA is filed under the name Diaphorina citri (Asian citrus psyllid). It matches the Rfam family "tRNA". Rfam says of the family: Transfer RNA (tRNA) molecules are approximately 80 nucleotides in length. Their secondary structure includes four short double-helical elements and three loops (D, anti-codon, and T loops). Further hydrogen bonds mediate the characteristic L-shaped molecular structure. tRNAs have two regions of fundamental functional importance: the anti-codon, which is responsible for specific mRNA codon recognition, and the 3' end, to which the tRNAs corresponding amino acid is attached (by aminoacyl-tRNA synthetases). tRNAs cope with the degeneracy of the genetic code in two manners: having more than one tRNA (with a specific anti-codon) for a particular amino acid; and 'wobble' base-pairing, i.e. permitting non-standard base-pairing at the 3rd anti-codon position. The record is from Rfam by way of RNAcentral. Lineage: Eukaryota; Metazoa; Arthropoda; Insecta; Hemiptera; Psyllidae.